Electrophorus electricus (electric eel) is the source of this 276-nucleotide long non-coding RNA. The record is from Ensembl. Lineage: Eukaryota; Metazoa; Chordata; Actinopteri; Gymnotiformes; Gymnotidae.
CGAAGGUUUAGGAAUUACAGUGUGUGCGCUGCAUGUGGAAUGGGGCACUUAAAUCCGUGCGGAAUUGUAUGAACCAAGGACCUAAAACAAGUGAUAUCAAAUGUUUUCGAAGUACGAAUACAGAGAGAAAUACUAGUUAUUGUGGAGAACGAGAACAGCAGUUGCCUGUAAGCUGGAGUGACAUGCCAGAGGAGUCCCACCACACUCGUCAUCAGGGCCCAAUGGGUGAAGCAAUGGUUGGAGUGAAACUGGCAACAGUCGCUUACAGACCAGCAC